Molecule: small nucleolar RNA, 125 nt
Organism: Lactuca sativa (garden lettuce)
Lineage: Eukaryota; Viridiplantae; Streptophyta; Magnoliopsida; Asterales; Asteraceae
Product: small nucleolar RNA snoR104
Source: RefSeq, a predicted model, not a curated record
GGGGAGCAUUUAAAGUUUAAAUGUUGCCUGAUAUACCCUUCCUACAACAAAAAAAUAAAAUCUCUGCUUUUCCUACUUGUUGCACGUGAGACACGUGUGCAAGCCUCUUGACUAUGAGAUACAUA